GUAUAAUACCCGAUAGGUCUCGAUUGCUGGAAUGCAUCGAGAUUUAAAGCUCCGGCGCCUAAGGAUGGGUCUGCGGCCUAUCAGGUAGUAGUGGGUGUAGCGUACCUACUAGCCUACGACGGGUACGGGUUGUGAGAGCAAGAGCCCGGAGAUGGAUUCUGAGACACGAAUCCAGGCCCUACGGGGUGCAGCAGGCGCGAAAACUUUACAAUGCUGGCAACAGCGAUAAGGGAACCUCGAGUGCCAGGUUACAAAUCUGGCUGUCGAGAUGCCUAAAAAGCAUUUCAUAGCAAGGGCCGGGCAAGACCGGUGCCAGCCGCCGCGGUAACACCGGCGGCUCGAGUGGUAACCGUUAUUAUUGGGUCUAAAGGGUCUGUAGCCGGCCGGAUAAGUCUCUUGAGAAAUCUGGCAGCUUAACUGUCAGGCUUUCAGGAGAUACUGUCUGGCUCGAGGCCGGGAGAGGUGAGAGGUACUUCAGGGGUAGGGGUGAAAUCUUGUAAUCCUUGAAGGACCACCAGUGGCGAAGGCGUCUCACCAGAACGGACCUGACGGCAAGGGACGAAAGCUAGGGGCACGAACCGGAUUAGAUACCCGGGUAGUCCUAGCCGUAAACGAUACUCGCUAGGUGUCGGCCACGGUGCGACCGUUGUCGGUGCCGUAGGGAAGCCGUGAAGCGAGCCACCUGGGAAGUACGGCCGCAAGGCUGAAACUUAAAGGAAUUGGCGGGGGAGCACCACAAC
RNAcentral lists this ribosomal RNA (740 nucleotides) under uncultured Methanosaeta sp. Its description in RNAcentral is "bacterial SSU rRNA". It matches the Rfam family "Archaeal small subunit ribosomal RNA", at positions 144 to 885 of the family's 1478-position model. The record is from RNAcentral. Lineage: Archaea; Methanobacteriati; Methanobacteriota; Methanomicrobia; Methanotrichales; Methanotrichaceae.